This 500-nucleotide ribosomal RNA is filed under the name Xanthomonas translucens pv. translucens. RNAcentral's name for it is "bacterial SSU rRNA". It matches the Rfam family "Bacterial small subunit ribosomal RNA", at positions 22 to 512 of the family's 1533-position model. The record is from RNAcentral. Lineage: Bacteria; Pseudomonadati; Pseudomonadota; Gammaproteobacteria; Lysobacterales; Lysobacteraceae.
GCUCAGAGUGAACGCUGGCGGCAGGCCUAACACAUGCAAGUCGACGGCAGCACAGUGGUAGCAAUACCAUGGGUGGCGAGUGGCGGACGGGUGAGGAAUACAUCGGAAUCUACCUUUUCGUGGGGGAUAACGUAGGGAAACUUACGCUAAUACCGCAUACGACCUUAGGGUGAAAGCGGAGGACCUUCGGGCUUCGCGCGGAUAGAUGAGCCGAUGUCGGAUUAGCUAGUUGGCGGGGUAAAGGCCCACCAAGGCGACGAUCCGUAGCUGGUCUGAGAGGAUGAUCAGCCACACUGGAACUGAGACACGGUCCAGACUCCUACGGGAGGCAGCAGUGGGGAAUAUUGGACAAUGGGCGCAAGCCUGAUCCAGCCAUGCCGCGUGGGUGAAGAAGGCCUUCGGGUUGUAAAGCCCUUUUGUUGGGAAAGAAAAGCAGUCGGUUAAUACCCGAUUGUUCUGACGGUACCCAAAGAAUAAGCACCGGCUAACUUCGUGCCAGC